CUAAACCUGUGAGCCACAGAAGCAGCGAAAUUGAAAGAACGACAGUUAAAACAUAAUUUGCACUGGACAAAUCUCCAAUUCUUAACAGGAAAAAAAUAAGACUGGUGGCUGGUAGAGUGUGCUCAUGCAUUAGGUUACUUGAGGCUUAACCCUUGCUAUAUACAUGAAAGCCCCGAUUCUGCCUGGAGCUGCAUGAUUGUGAAUCUGAGAUGCCAAGAGAUGCUGCUUGUUGAUAUUUUCUGAUAUGCCCUGUCAGAUUCCACAAGAGCAAUGACUCUAGGGUCACUGGGAAAAUUGACAAUGACAAAGCAAUUCCUACAGUGGAUCUUCCAGGGGACAGAAAAGAGCCUGACUCCCCUAGUGCUUGUCACACACUGAAGUCUAAACUGGAUCAUCUGCCUUGCAUAUGACUUCAGAUCUGACACAGGGGCAUGAUAUCUUAAAAGAGAAGGAGAAGCAUCAGAAGCAGGAUGCUGCUUCCUGCCCAGGAGACAGAUCAGUGACUGAGAGCUGCAAUUCUGGAAAUCAAACAAACCCUGCCUUUGUUGAUCCCAACAGGCCCUGACUCAUAGAUGUCAGCAUCACUCUGCCUUGUCUCGAUCAGUAUGCAGUUGGUUCUGGUCAUACCUAGGUCUACUGAAUCCUAAGUAUGACCAGAACCAGACUGGUAAGAAGCCUCACUGCUGUUGCUUUUAUUAGCACUCCUUGCCCCUUCUUGAAGGACUGUGUGCAUUCAAAUGGAAUAUCGAAUAGGAACCAAUGAGGAGAGUGUUCUCAUUUCCAGCACUGAAGGCAAACAGUGUGGUUUCCUUGGAGAUCUUCAUAAGAGAUAGUGAUUCAUUUCUCCCUCCCUCCUUAAACUGUGCUACAGAAGGAGUGAAAGUGAAAGUAGAUGAAAGCAGAAAAGUGCAAUUUACCCUGGGUUCUGAUGGCAAUUUUCAAAAGGAAAGAAACCAGUAUGUGACUACCAGGGAUUGAUCAUAAACCUGCUUGUUUCAUCAAGCAUAAUUGUUAUGUUCAUGAAAGCUCCAUUUCUCCCUGGAGAUAGGUGAGUGCUUCGAGCCAGAAAGUAGCUUCUUUUUGGUGAAAAUUUUGACAUGCCAUGUGAAAUGGCCCAAAUACAAUGUAAAAUGCUCGAAUUUUAGUUUCCUCCUUUAAAUGUACAUGAGGUCUGAAAUAACAUGCUUCCAUUGUAAGUGGACAUUUUCACUUCAAGCCCUCCAGUACUGGGAAUCAAAUAAUACCUGCCUUUAAUGAUUGCCAAGGGAUCUGACUCCUGUGGAUGUCAUGAGCAGUCUGCCAUGUUUGGGGUUUCUCUGUGUAGCUAUGGAGCCUAUCCUGGCACUUGCUCUGAGGACCAGACUGGCAAUGAACUCACAGAGAUCCGUCCACCUCUGCCUCCCGAUUGCUUGGAUUAAAGACUUGUGCCACCAACGCCCGACAGCUUCCAGGUCCUUAAAGAGGACAACUAAUAGGCUCCCUUGGUUUUAGAGCUACAGUAAUCAAGAACCUGGAACUAUGCCUGUGGGAAAAUCUCCCUGCUCUUAUUCUGGAAGAGGAAUAUAGAAAUAGAAGGAUCUCUACCAAAACAUUCCUAUAUACCUAGACAUGUACAUCACUUGACCCACAUCUGAGAGUCUUCUACUUGUACUACAUAAGGAAUAACAUUGCAAUGCUCAGGUAACAGAAGACCAAUCUAUGAGCAUCAGUACAUAAUUGCUUUGCAACCAAGCUCAAGAAAGACCUGAUGUCAUGGACCUGAAUUGGAUCACAACAAAGAAAGAAUAGCUUGUAUAUGCCAAAAUACACAGGAAAUGUAAAAAAGAUUGGAAAAUUGAACAUGUGACCAUAUAUGGGAACAAGAAGAAAACAAGAAAAAUUUUUAUUCUACAAUUUAAGGCCCUGUCUCCUGAAGAUGUCAGCAGCAGUCUGCCUUGUCUGUGUCCUUGUACAGUCAGCCUCUGACUAUAUCCACGAUCCACUGAGUCCUGGAAUAUAGCCAGAGACUGACUGGUAAGUCCCUGCACUGGCAAUGUUUCUAUUAACACUCCUGGCCCCUGAUUGAAGGACUGUGUGUAUUCAACUUGGGCAAAGACCAAGAGCCAAUAAGGGGAGUGAUCUCAUUUCCAGCAAUGUAGACAUAUCAUAUAGUUGCUUUGGAGAUCUCCAUCAGUGUUGCUGACUCAUUUCUGUCUCCCACCUGAAGGUGUAUGACAGCUGAAACAUCUCAACUGAAAAUGGAUGCCAGAAAAAAAAAAUAGUUACCUUGACUCUGACUGCAGUCUUCAAAUGAAUGAGCCAAGCUGUGCAAAGCAGGUUGUUACCAUAUCACAGGAAUUUGUAUGUGAAUCCAGACCAGCUAAAAAAUGCCUCUGUUUUUACCUGAACUGAGUGUUUCCCUCCCCUACCACCCACCCCAACAAAAAUGCUACCUUUCACAGAUCCUCUCUGCUCCCCCUGGAUGGUGAAGCCUUCCAUAGGGGGUCAUCAGAGUCUAACAUAUCCUUUGGGAUAUGGCCUAGGCCACACCAUGUGGCUUGGCUCAGGGAGUAACACUCUAUGUUCCCUUGUCUCCACUUCCUCUCCAGCAUAAACUCUAAUUGAUGUUUUUGAUUUUAGCCAUUCUGACAGGUAUAAGAUGGGAUCUCAGAGUUAUUUUGAUUUGCACUUCCCUGAUGGCUAAGGAUGUUGAACCCAUGUUAUCUGUCUUUCAGCCAUUUUAGAUUCCUCUAUUGAAAAUUGUCUAUUUAGUUCUGUACCCCACUGUUUUAUUUGGAUUUUUUGGUGUUUUGAAGGCUAGCUUCUUGAGUUCUUUUGUAUUUUGGAGCUCAGCCUUCUGUCAGAUGUAGGGUUGGUGAAUGUGUUUUCCUUGUCUGUGGUGUGGUGUUUUGUCUUACUGAUUAUGUCCUUAGCCUUUCAGAAGUUUCAGGAGGUCCCAUUUAUCAAUUGUUGAUCUCAGUGUCUGUGUUACUGGUGUAAUGUUCAGCAAGCAGGCUCCUGUACCAAUUAAUUCAAGGGUAUUUCACACUUUGUCUUCUAAUAGGUUCAGUGUAGCUAUAUUUAUGUUGAGGUCUUCGUACUUAAUUUGGUGUGCCUGGCAAUAGACAUGGAUCUAUUUGCAGCCUUCUACAUUCUAGCAUCCGGUUAUGCCAGCGCCAUCUGUUGAAGAUGUUUUCUUUAGU
RNAcentral lists this long non-coding RNA (3182 nucleotides) under Cricetulus griseus (Chinese hamster). RNAcentral's name for it is "lncRNA (ENSCGRG00015036796.1)". Lineage: Eukaryota; Metazoa; Chordata; Mammalia; Rodentia; Cricetidae. The record is from RNAcentral.